RNAcentral lists this ribosomal RNA (222 nucleotides) under Escherichia coli. Its description in RNAcentral is "partial 16S ribosomal RNA". It matches the Rfam family "Bacterial small subunit ribosomal RNA", at positions 1 to 219 of the family's 1533-position model. The record is from RNAcentral. Lineage: Bacteria; Pseudomonadati; Pseudomonadota; Gammaproteobacteria; Enterobacterales; Enterobacteriaceae.
AAAUUGAAGAGUUUGAUCAUGGCUCAGAUUGAACGCUGGCGGCAGGCCUAACACAUGCAAGUCGAACGGUAACAGGAAAAAGCUUGCUUUUUCGCUGACGAGUGGCGGACGGGUGAGUAAUGUCUGGGAAACUGCCUGAUGGAGGGGGAUAACUACUGGAAACGGUAGCUAAUACCGCAUAACGUCGCAAGACCAAAGAGGGGGACCUUCGGGCCUCUUGCC